RNAcentral lists this long non-coding RNA (682 nucleotides) under Sorghum bicolor (sorghum). Its description in RNAcentral is "long non-coding RNA (SBIC_LNC010279)". The record is from RNAcentral. Lineage: Eukaryota; Viridiplantae; Streptophyta; Magnoliopsida; Poales; Poaceae.
CGGGCACUUGUCCAUUUUUUCUGCGAGGUUGUCGAGCACUUGCUCCUUUUUAUUUCCUCGAAAUAUCUUUAUUUUUGCAUAGCCCAUGCCUCUAAUGCAAUAAUACUUCAGAAGAGUGAAACUUUCUAAAUAAAUGUCUUGAUCUUAGGAGUAUGAUAAAUCUCUCAACAAGGGUCUAACUCAUUUUGAACAAACUCAAUAUAGAGCAGAUAGCUUUUAUAAUUAUUAUAUUAAUAUUUUCAGGUUUAUCAGGCAUAUAAAACACUGAGGAUGGUAGCUAGAAUUUUAAAGAUUUUGAAAUAAAUUCUCCAAGCAACAAUGAUAUCAAGAAUAAGAAACUCAUACUUUACGAUCUCACAUUCCACAAUGACUUAAGUAACACAGGGUUUUAAAAUGAUUUUUCAAUAAUUGCAAGUUUAUAGGAAAUAUCACAGAGUGAGAUUAAUCAUGAUUAGAAAUAUUUUAAUCUUUUUAAUUUAUCAUGUCGGAAACAAUAUUCUGCAUAUUCCAAGAUAUAUAUGUGUAUGUGUAAAGUGUGCAGAGUGUGUACCUCAAUCGUGGAGUGGUGUAGUCGAAGUGUGUUUGGCGUGUCAAGGGAUCUCCCCCAUACUUGUUUUCUGCUUUCUUGCACAAAAAUAAAGUAGAGACACACAAGACAUAAUAAUAAUACUCUUUAUUAAUC